This is a long non-coding RNA of Antechinus flavipes (yellow-footed antechinus), 2891 nucleotides long. RefSeq lists it as uncharacterized. Lineage: Eukaryota; Metazoa; Chordata; Mammalia; Dasyuromorphia; Dasyuridae. The transcript is spliced from 3 exons. The record is from RefSeq and is a predicted model, not a curated record.
ACUGGGAAUGGACUUGAAAACAUGUCAAGGUGAAUGGAAUAAAAGAGUUAGAGCUAUCUGGCCUGAAGAAAAACCAGAGCAAAGGGAUGGGACAGGGAGAGUUAUGUGUACAGUCUACAACAGAGGUGGGGAAUCUCUUUUCUGCCAAGGGCCAUUUGGAUUUUAUAACAUCAUUCACAGAUCACACAAUGUGUUUUACUUAGGCUUCAACUCACCAUCACUUGUAGUUGCCUUAGCAAAUGCUUUUGUUCUGUCUUAUUCAGGCUGGAUGUUCCCCACCCCGGUCUACAAGAAUAUGUAGGGCUGAGGGUUUAGACUUGUCACACUUGGCUCAAGAAAACAGAAUUCCAGGUCAAUGUAAGAAAGAAUGAUCCUAACAUGGAAUGAGCUGCUAAAUAUGGAAGUGACUUCUCCGUCACAUGAAGUCUUCAGUCUGAAUGUUCACUUGUUGAGGAUGGUAUAGGCAGGAUUUCUGCUCAGGUAGAGAUGGAUGAUCUCUGAGCUCCUUUGCAACUCUGAUACUCUGAUUCUAUGUGGCUCCUGACACUGUUGCUUCACGGAGCUCUGAGAAAAUGCCUUCUGGGACAUCAUCAUGGGGAAAUGGAGCUAUGGUGCAGAGGAAAGAGGCCUGCUCUGGGAAUCAGGAGACCUGGAUUCUCUUUCUAGCUGUGCUAUUUACUAAGUCUAUGACCUUGGGAAAAUGUCACUCCCUUCACUGGCCUUUAGUUUCCUCCUCUGUGAAAUCAGGGUAUCAGACCAUCUAGUCUAAUAAAUUAGACUAGAUGGUCUCUAAAGUCCUUCUGAGCUCUGACUGCAUAAGCAGAGGAAAGGAUACUGGAGGUAAGGAAGAUGAGUUUCCCGGAAGGAAUUACAGAAUAGAAAACCAGAGGGAAGAAUUAACUUACAAGCUCUCUCCAAAGAGGUCAAAACACUUUCUAUCCAUUAUCCUGUACACUUCCCACAUCCCUCAUGAAAAGUGAUGGGGGCUGCAAUUGUCUAGGGAAAGCUUGGGCACAGGAGAGUGGAAGCAAUUUGUUGCUCUCAGUAAGAAAAGCAAGCUAAGGAGCCCUAAGCCCCAAGUCUCAAGGCUCAAGCUUUGCUAAGUACGUACUCCCCCUUUUAUAUUCAAAUCCCCAAGAACUCCCAGCCUUGCAUAGGUAUGCUUGGGUUCUCCUACCCAAAGCCCCUGACAUCCCAGUUCGGGAGUCACAUUGUUCUCCCCCAGCCCCAAACACCAACUGAGAGCAGGGAAACCAUGUACCUCAUUCUCCAGCACUUAGCUCAGAGCCAAGAGCCAGCCCACCCCAGAGGCAUCACAGUGAUUACCAGUUACUUCUCAUCUGGGUGUCCCAUGUCCCUACUAGACUGAGCUCCCUAAGGGAUCAGAGGACUUAGAAUCAGAAGAGAUCUUAUAGUUCCAUCUACUUCGGCCCCAAAAUUGUACAGAUAAGGAAACAGGCUCAAAGAGAUUAAGUCACUUCUCCAAGGUCACACAGGUAAUAGCAAACCGAUUCAUGGGAAUGGGGUCCAGGUCCUGAUUUCAGAUCCCGCGGUAUACAGCAGGCACCGCAGCUCCUGCCUCCCCGUCUCCUCUCCCCCAGUGCAGCCUAACCCAGGGCUGGGGGUGAACGGUCCCUUCGUAAACAUUUGUCCAAAGACUGAAUCAUGGCACUGACCAGAGGGAUGUCCUGUGACCCUACAGGAGCGACCAGAACUUCACCACCAUUAAGCACUCCACAGGGGAGGUCACGCCGGCGGCACUGGCCAAAUCUGCCUUCUGUUCCCCACAAUCUAUCAGUCUGAGGCUCAGGAUUAAAAAAAUCAAUUUUUAAACACCUGUGCUGGAUUCUGUGGCCGAGCCCCAGACUGGCCUGAAGAGAAGGGCCUUAACUAACGGCCCUGCUCGCAUCCCCUUUCUCCCCCCACGCCCAUGGCGGGGAAGGUGUUAGAAGAGAGAAUAUCAGAACUGGAAGGGACGGGAAGGUGGUUUCUAAGGAAAAGGAGCUGGAAACUCAGGCAAUGGCAUCAGGUCCAUGCAGCCUUACGUCAAUGGAAGGGGGAGGGGGGAGUAGCGCCAAGAGAGGAAGAUGAGGGAAGGAUGGAGGAAGAGGGGAUUGCUCUGGGGCCUUGGGUGGCGCCUUAACCUGCGGUCUCCCUGCGGCUUCUCCACCGGCAGCAGAAACCGCACCUUUCCCCCCUCCAAGGGACACCCCCCCAAGCCCGUACAGAACGAAGGUCACCUCGGUUCUCCUCGCCACCUCUGCAGUGUACAGAAUGGAAUUUCCCAUCCAUCCACCACCAAAAUAAACAAACCGGAGUUGGAUGAAGCAAGCAAAUUUUAGAGCACCUUUUCUAGCCCCUUCCUCCCACCAGAAGACUGAAGAUUUUUCCCAAUAAAGACUGAAGAUUUUCCCCUUAACCUGAGUUCCUGACUCCGGCUGAUUUUAAAUACGCGAUCAUUACACUUUUGAUAGUGGCAAGAAACUGGAAACUGAGUGGAUGUCCAUCAAUUACAUAAUGACUGAAUAAGUUGUGGUAUAUGAAUGCUAUGGAAUAUUAUUGUUUUGUAAGAAAUGACCAGCUGGAUGAUUUCAGAGAGACCUGGGGAGACUUACAGGAAUUGAUGCUGAGGGAAAUGAGCAGAAUCAGGAGAUCAUUGUACAUGGCAACAAGAAGAUUAUACGAAGAUCCAUUCUGACGGAAUUGACUGUUUUCAACAAUGUGAUGAUUGAGGCUGGUUGCCUGUUGUUGAUCACAACAUAGCAUUUUCAUUCUUUUCAUUAUUGUUUGCUUGCAUUUUGUUUUCUUUCUCAUUUUUUCCCUCUUUGAUCUGACUUGUCUUGUGCAGCAUGAUGAUUGAAUAAAUAAGUAUACAUGUAUUGGAUUUUACA